Molecule: small nuclear RNA, 130 nt
Organism: Leucoraja erinaceus (little skate)
Lineage: Eukaryota; Metazoa; Chordata; Chondrichthyes; Rajiformes; Rajidae
Source: RefSeq, a predicted model, not a curated record
GUGUUGUACGAAAAUAGCAUUUUCCCUUGAUAAGGAUGAAAGGGGUCCUAGUGGCCUUACAACACACAAAUGGAUGGGAUCUAACCAUGUAAAGCUGCAAAAUGCUAAAGUUCCAAGCACAGAAAUUUUC